RNAcentral lists this ribosomal RNA (200 nucleotides) under uncultured bacterium. RNAcentral describes it as "partial 16S ribosomal RNA". It matches the Rfam family "Bacterial small subunit ribosomal RNA", at positions 29 to 223 of the family's 1533-position model. The record is from RNAcentral.
AGUGAACGCUGGCGGCAGGCCUAACACAUGCAAGUCGAACGGCAGCACAGAGGAACUUGCUCCUUGGGUGGCGAGUGGCGGACGGGUGUGGAAUACAUCGGAAUCUGCCUUAUCGGGGGGGAUAACGUAGGGAAACUUACGCUAAUACCGCAUACGACCUACGGGUGAAAGCGGAGGACCGCAAGGGCUUCGCGCGAUAA